AUGCUGCACAUGAGCAAACAUCAAGAGGAGAAGUUUACUGCCUGCAAACAUGUAAAGGUGACUCCCUUUGGCAUGCCUUCACAGUCCAACUGUGAGUGUUCUUCUGUAUGUACUUCAGAGGACAAAUGCAUAACAGAAGGACAGGUAUGCGGAACAGAAGCACAAGACUUCCGUUGCAUUGUUACUUACAAAAAGAAAGAACAAGAUUGUAUUCCUUUAAAUGGAACAUCAGCAACACAGUGUUACACUGGAAAUGGGAUUUUCGUGUCCAACAUGCCAGGGUGUUUUAAUGAGAACAUUAUAAUUUGUAAAACAGCUCUUGAUAUCGAAUUUACCGGAUGCAAAAUAAAUCCAACUUCCAUAUCUGAAUCAAGAUCUCCUACAGAAAACCCACCUAGCUCAAGAGUAGGAGGAGAGAAUCCUGGACUCAUACCUGCCAGCGUUGCUGUUCUUGCCCUUGUCCUCUUUGUUAUAGGAGCUGCUAUGGUGAGUUCUUUUCCACAUAACAGCUUUUACUGCAGGACAUAA
RNAcentral lists this long non-coding RNA (528 nucleotides) under Scleropages formosus (Asian bonytongue). RNAcentral describes it as "lncRNA (ENSSFOG00015030666.1)". Lineage: Eukaryota; Metazoa; Chordata; Actinopteri; Osteoglossiformes; Osteoglossidae. The record is from RNAcentral.